UACGAAGGGGGCUAGCGUUGUUCGGAUUUACUGGGCGUAAAGCGCACGUAGGCGGAUCGUUAAGUCGGGGGUGAAAUCCUGGAGCUCAACUCCAGAACUGCCUUCGAUACUGGCGAUCUAGAGUCCGGAAGAGGUGAGUGGAACUCCUAGUGUAGAGGUGGAAUUCGUAGAUAUUAGGAAGAACACCAGUGGCGAAGGCGGCUCACUGGUCCGGUACGGACGCUGAGGUGCGAAAGCGUGGGGAGCAAACAGG
RNAcentral lists this ribosomal RNA (253 nucleotides) under uncultured bacterium. RNAcentral's name for it is "partial 16S ribosomal RNA". It matches the Rfam family "Bacterial small subunit ribosomal RNA", at positions 524 to 776 of the family's 1533-position model. The record is from RNAcentral.